Molecule: RNA transcript, 1584 nt
Organism: Lytechinus pictus (painted urchin)
Lineage: Eukaryota; Metazoa; Echinodermata; Echinoidea; Temnopleuroida; Toxopneustidae
Gene name: phosphatidylinositol 4,5-bisphosphate 3-kinase catalytic subunit alpha isoform-like
Exons: 4
Source: RefSeq, a predicted model, not a curated record
GUAAACAACUUUUUUGUGGCUGCCCUGUCACGCAUGCAUGCCCGGACUCUUUCGGCCUGUACAUUGGUGCGGAUUUGAUGCUUAUCAUUAUUUAUAGAAUUCAAUAUACAUGGCAACAGUGAAGGGUGAAGACAUCUAAUUACCUCCCAGCUCAAGGCGUAUGGCCUACUCAUAAAUUCUCUCAAGGAAUGAUGCUACAUUUGCAUAAUUUCCCGGAAUUAGUAAGACUUUGAAAGAAAAAAAGUGCUGGUUUCAACUUGCCCCUGUCUUAAUUAAGAAGUCUACUGUUUGCCCUUUAUUACCAUAUGUGAAACAGUAAUCCGUUUCAAGGAAUUGCAUCUUCAUCAAGAUGUAUGAUCUGGACAAUCAAGUAAUUUUCUGAAGAAGCAUACACGUACACAUGCAGAUAACGAGGAGAUCCAAAAGCGUGAUUAAGAUUGUGACGCAAACAGCUGUUAUGAAAGGAAAAUCUGAUUGGAAAAUUUUGUUUGCUCCUGAUUUAUAAUUGGAUUAUUGGUCUGUGAACGUAAUGAUUAUCCAGAUGAUCUUCAGCAAAUGCAAGUUGAAAUCAGUUUGUAUUCUCAGAAUCUGAAGUGCUGAGUAAGUUUUAUAUACUGUAUUAAAGUCAGGAAACAUCUUCAUCAUAUCAUUUGUUAGGCUGAUCUGAAGCGUUAUAUCUACCCUUGGCAAAGAUAACUGCAUGGAUGCAAAGAAAUCCUAUAUCUGUCAAUAUGGCACCAUCUGAUCUAUGAAAUUCUGUUUUGACUGAGAAUGCUGGAAUCUAUAAGAAUCAAUCCACUUUACAGGUAUCACUUUGCUGCAGUCAGAGACCAAUAAAACUCAAGUUUAACGUGAUACACCAACAAUGCCGCCAUCCUCUGGAGAACUAUGGGGCUCACACCUGAUGCCCUCCAAGAUCCGUGUGGAAUGUCUCCUACCAAACGGGAUCCUGGUGCCCAUGGAAUGUGUGCGUGAAGCUACCUUGGAGAAGGUUAAAGCCAUGCUGUGGAGAGAAGCCUUCAAGUAUCCUCUGGCUCACCUCCUAGGGGAAGCAUCCUCCUACAUCUUUGUCAGCAUCACCCAGGAUGCGGAGAAGGAGGAGUUCUAUGAUGAGGGGCGGAGACUCUGUGAUCUAAGGCUGUUCCAACCAUGGCUGAAGGUUGUAGAGCCGGCAGGAAACAGAGAAGAGAAGAUGCUCAAUUAUGAAAUAGGAGCGGCCAUUGGCGUCCCAAUCAACGAGUUUGACUCCAUCAAAGAUCCUCAGGUGGUCCACUUUAGACGUAACAUUCUAACAACAUGUAUGAAUGUAGUAGAGGAGCGUGAAGAACAUGGUAAGAUGGGUCAAGCACUCUAUGCCUAUCCACCAAACCUUGAAGCAUCGGAGAUUCUACCAAAUCAUAUCCUACAGAAACUAGAAACAGGUGAGACAUUGAAACAGAUUAGCUUAUAUCAAAGGUUAAAGGUCAAUUAAAGGUAGAGAAAAAAAAAGAGAUUCUACCUAAUCAUAUCCUACAGAAACUAGAAACAGGUGAGACAUUGAAACAGGUUAGCUUAUAUCAAAGGUUAAAGGUCAAUUAAAGGUAG